GUCGGGAGUUAGGAAAUGCGAUGCGGUUAAUACCCGUGUUGCUUGACAAAUGCCCCAGAGGAAGCACUGGCUAACUACGUGCCAGCAGCCGCGGUAAUACGUAGAGUGCAAACGUUGUUCGGAAUUACUGGGCAUAAAGAGCUCGUAGGCGGCGUGGCGGGUCGGUUGUGAAAGCCCCUGGCUCAACCAGGGAACUGCAGCCGAAACUUCCAUGCUUGAGUGUGAGAGGGGAGAGUGGAACUUCUGGU
This 248-nucleotide ribosomal RNA is filed under the name uncultured Planctomycetales bacterium. RNAcentral describes it as "partial 16S ribosomal RNA". It matches the Rfam family "Bacterial small subunit ribosomal RNA", at positions 434 to 674 of the family's 1533-position model. The record is from RNAcentral. Lineage: Bacteria; Pseudomonadati; Planctomycetota; Planctomycetia; Planctomycetales.